UGGUGUAAUUUAGCUUUACCUUUUUUUAGAUAAAGUUAUGGGUGCAAAAGCACACCAAAUUUCAUAGGAAAUCAAGCAACAUUACAAAAGAACAACAAAAGGAAAGAAAAAAAUACAUUCAACAGUAAAUUAACAAACUGCGAAUACAUAGAAAAGAGGAACAAAUCCAGCCUUCCUAAGAAACUGCGACAACACCAACAAUAGAGAAUACACCAAGCAGAAGCAGUGAAACUACAACCUAAACCAAUUCCAAAGGCACCAAAUAUCCAACCGUUGCCAAAAUAAAUUAGAUGAGUCUGCAAAAUAAAAAUAGCUUCUGAAUUGGAACAGUCUCAAACUUCUCAUAUUGUUUGAUCUUUUCACUAAAUCAAUCUACACGAGGAUGAUAGAUGAAGAUAUGGCCUCAACAAGGCCAUUCUUUGAAGCCAUAAUAGAUCAAAGCCUUCUUUGUUCCACCAAAUCGAACCUAAAAAAACUGCAACAACCCCAACAAUAGAGUAGUGUUGAAGGCUUAUGCAGAAAAACAAGCCAAAGCUUGGAAGACAGCACAGAGCCUCCAACUACCAACAACAUAUGACUAGAGUAAUCCAAAAUCGUAAUGGAAAAAGUACAAAUUAACAUCCAAAAGCAAGAAGCAAAAGUAGGAAAACCAAGACUAUUGGAGCCAACACUAAACAGCCAGCCAAGCCUCCAACAACCAGAGCAAUCCAUAAUAAAGCAACAAUAGAAAAGAGCAUUGUAAAGGUUUCUGAUGGAGUCCACACCAAAACAACAACACAUAGUUACUGUACAGAACAACCAUGAAGACCCAAGAACAACUAUAAGAUGCUCACAGACAAUCAACUCUUGACCUACUACAAACUAGACCAAACCCUCAACUGCAACAUCAAGGGGAAAAACCCAACAGCUACCUAACAAACAACCACGAGCAGAAGCAAAGAAAGCUACAAAGAACAAAUUAGUGGAAUCUAUAAUUGGGUAAAAUAAAUCUAUUCCUAUAAAAGACAUAGGAAAUGAAUUGCGGAACUGAAUCCCACCAAGAGUAAUGCCUCAAAUUCACACCGAAAUAGGCCAAUUUAUUAGCACAAGAGUUUUAUUCUCUAAAAAUAUGAGACACCCGAAAAUCCAUAUCAACAGUUAGUGAAAUACAAUUCAACCGUCCAUUAAGAAUUGUCCAAGGAACGAUACCAUAGGACUUGAAAUAGUUGACAACAAGCACUAAAUCACAUUCUAGCUAAACCUUUUUCCAACCCAGCCUAUGAGCAAUUUCGAUGGCCAAAAUUACUGAAAGAAUCUAAACAAAGAAAGCAUUUUGAAUUCCAAAGUAAACAACAAAACAUCCAAUAGUAGAUCCCUUAAUGUCCCUGAAGAUACUAUCACCACCUGCAUGACCAAGGGCAGUGUGAGCAGCACUAUUAGUGUUAGCUUUGACCCAACCCGAAAAAGAGGCCACCAUUGAACCUCCGUGAAUGAAGGGGCUUUCUUAUAGUUGAUUUUAACCUGAAAAAAACUUCAACAUAGAAAAAUCAUUAACACAAUUGUUAGCAUACAACUUAGAUAAAUUCCCAAUAAUGGACGCCACCCCUUUGAUUCUACCAAAAGCCUAAUUGUGUCUGGUUCGCUUGUCUUGAAAUCUAGCCUUAUUCCCACGGUCCCAGAUUAUGUUAAUUGUGAGGAUAAUGGCUGAGACCAUAAUUUCCUUAACUUGGGGGGCUAAGACUACUUUGACAGGCAGAAAAGAUAUUAAAGACCGAAGUAUUAUCCAAAUGAGUGUUGUAAGUUGCAGAUAAAAUAUUCCAUAAUUUAGUAGCAAAAGAGCAGGAAAAGAAAAGAUCAGAGGAGGUUUCCUGCUUGUAGAAACAGAGACUACAAGCAGAGGCCAACAUAGAACCUCUCCUUUGGAGGUUUUCAUCCGUAGGCAGCUUAUUAUGGAUUAAGCUUUUGUUUAGAAGGGUGGAGUUAGAGAAGAGAUAAAAGAUAGAGAAAGAAGUUGAAGAGAGGUGUGAAAUUUCUCCCAUUUGGUUGAGAGGGGAGAAAGAAGGGAGGAUGGAAAAAAGUGGGUGGACCCACAAAAUUUCUUUCUCUCCACUUAGAGAGAGA
RNAcentral lists this long non-coding RNA (2100 nucleotides) under Lupinus angustifolius (narrow-leaved blue lupine). Its description in RNAcentral is "long non-coding RNA (LANG_LNC000552)". Lineage: Eukaryota; Viridiplantae; Streptophyta; Magnoliopsida; Fabales; Fabaceae. The record is from RNAcentral.